Molecule: ribosomal RNA, 468 nt
Filed under: uncultured bacterium
Lineage: Bacteria
Description: partial 16S ribosomal RNA
Rfam family: Bacterial small subunit ribosomal RNA
Source: RNAcentral
GACGAACGCUGGCGGCGUGCUUAACACAUGCAAGUCGAACGGAAAGGCCCUGCUUUUGUGGGGUGCUCGAGUGGCGAACGGGUGAGUAACACGUGAGUAACCUGCCCUUGACUUUGGGAUAACUUCAGGAAACUGGGGCUAAUACCGGAUAGGAGCUCCUGCUGCAUGGUGGGGGUUGGAAAGUUUCGGCGGUUGGGGAUGGACUCGCGGCUUAUCAGCUUGUUGGUGGGGUAGUGGCUUACCAAGGCUUUGACGGGUAGCCGGCCUGAGAGGGUGACCGGCCACAUUGGGACUGAGAUACGGCCCAGACUCCUACGGGAGGCAACAGUGGGGAAUAUUGCACAAUGGGCGGAAGCCUGAUACGGCAACGCCGCGUGCGGGAUGACGGCCUUCGGGUUGUAAACCGCUUUCGCCUGUGACGAAGCGUGAGUGACGGUAAUGGGUAAAGAAGCACCGGCUAACUACGUG